UGGAAUCUCAAUUCUCGAGUCUCAAAUCAAACACCCAAGCCCCCUAGAACCUCCCAGAAGACUCUGUCCAAACAUUUAUUUAAUUCCUCACAAAACCCUUCUCUCUUCCAAUUCAAACCUCCUAAUGGCCGCAACGACGUCGUUUUCCCGUGUUCACCUUCGUUUUCCCACCAACUGCUCCAACGGACCCGCUCUUUCUCCUCACCCCCGCCCCUCUCUCAACUUGUCUGCAAGGCGUAGGUCUUUGAAAGCCCUAAAUUCGUUGAGGUUGAAGCAAAACGAUGUCUUUCUUUCCAAACGGUUUGCUGGGUCGGGUAAGUGUCCCAGGUCUUUUGUUGUUCGAUGCGAUGCUUCCGGUGGAAGGAUCACUCAACAAGAUUUCACAGAGAUGGCUUGGCAAGCAAUUGUUUCUUCACCAGAAGUGGCAAAGGAGAACAAGCAUCAGAUAGUAGAGACAGAGCAUUUGAUGAAGGCUCUGCUGGAGCAGAAGAAUGGACUUGCUCGCAGAAUCUUCUCGAAGGCUGGGGUUGAUAAUACCCGUCUCCUUGAUGCCACUGACAAGUUCAUUCAACGUCAGCCUAAGGUUAUUGGUGAAUCAGCUGGUUCAAUGUUAGGACGGGACUUAGAAAGCUUGAUUCAGCGGGCCAGGGAGUACAAGAAAGAGUAUGGUGAUUCCUUUGUGUCAGUUGAGCACUUGGUUCUUGCCUUUGCACAAGAUCAACGUUUUGGGAAGCAACUGUUUAAGGAUUUUCAAAUCUCCCAGAAAGCCUUAAAAUCUGCAAUCGAGGCCAUAAGAGGACGCCAACAAGUCAUUGAUCAAGAUCCUGAAGGGAAGUAUGAAGCACUUGAGAAAUAUGGAAAAGAUUUGACAGCCAUGGCAAAAGCAGGAAAGCUUGACCCAGUAAUAGGAAGAGAUGAUGAAAUACGGAGGUGCAUCCAGAUUCUCUCCAGGAGAACAAAGAACAAUCCUGUGCUAAUUGGUGAGCCAGGUGUUGGAAAAACUGCAAUUUCUGAAGGGCUUGCUCAGAGAAUCGUGCAAGGGGAUGUGCCUCAAGCUUUGAUGAAUCGUAAGCUUAUAUCUCUUGACAUGGGUGCACUCAUAGCUGGGGCAAAAUUUCGAGGGGAAUUUGAGGAUAGGCUGAAGGCUGUACUCAAGGAAGUAACAGAAUCAGAUGGCCAGACUAUCCUUUUUAUUGACGAGAUCCACACAGUUGUUGGAGCAGGUGCUACAAAUGGUGCAAUGGAUGCGGGCAAUCUACUGAAACCAAUGCUUGGUCGUGGAGAGUUGCGAUGUAUUGGUGCAACAACACUGGAUGAGUAUCGGAAAUAUAUUGAGAAAGAUCCAGCAUUGGAACGUCGUUUCCAGCAAGUUUAUGUGGAUCAACCUACAGUGGAAGAUACAAUUUCCAUACUUCGUGGGUUGCGGGAAAGAUAUGAACUGCAUCAUGGUGUCCGCAUCUCUGACAGUGCACUUGUGGAGGCGGCAAUUCUGUCUGAUCGUUACAUCAGUGGUCGCUUUUUACCUGACAAAGCUAUUGACCUAGUUGAUGAAGCAGCUGCUAAACUGAAGAUGGAAAUUACAUCAAAACCCACUGCACUUGAUGAGAUCAACCGUUCUGUACUGAAGCUGGAGAUGGAAAGGCUGUCUCUUACAAAUGAUACAGAUAAAGCUUCAAAAGAUAGGUUGAGUCGCCUUGAGGCUGAGCUGUCUCUGUUAAAAGAGAAACAAGCAGAGCUGAGUGAGCAAUGGGAGCAUGAAAAAUCAGUUAUGACACGCCUUCAGUCAAUCAAAGAAGAGAUUGACAGGGUGAAUCUUGAGAUUCAGCAGGCUGAGCGGGAGUAUGACCUUAAUCGUGCUGCUGAACUCAAGUAUGGGAGCCUGAACUCUUUGCAGCGUCAACUUGAAAAUGCGGAAAAAGAGUUGGAUGAGUAUAUGAAAUCUGGGAAAUCCAUGCUAAGAGAAGAGGUUACAGGGAAUGAUAUUGCUGAAAUUGUCAGUAAAUGGACUGGUAUCCCUGUUUCCAAGCUACAACAAUCAGAGAGGGAGAAACUAUUACAUUUGGAAGAAGAGCUACAUAAACGUGUCGUUGGUCAAGAUCCUGCAGUGAGAUCAGUAGCUGAGGCCAUCCAGCGGUCCCGAGCAGGUCUCUCUGAUCCUCACCGCCCAAUUGCUAGUUUCAUGUUCAUGGGUCCUACAGGUGUUGGGAAGACAGAGCUAGCCAAGGCCCUUGCUUCCUACAUGUUCAACACUGAAGAAGCCCUUGUGCGAAUUGAUAUGAGUGAGUACAUGGAAAAACAUGCAGUUUCAAGAUUGAUAGGGGCACCGCCUGGUUAUGUUGGUUACGAGGAAGGAGGGCAGUUGACAGAGACAGUCCGCAGGAGGCCAUAUGCAGUUAUUCUGUUUGAUGAAAUAGAAAAGGCCCAUUCAGAUGUGUUCAAUGUGUUUCUUCAGAUUCUGGAUGAUGGGAGGGUGACUGACUCACAGGGUCGCACUGUGAGCUUUACCAACACUGUCCUCAUUAUGACUUCAAAUGUGGGUUCACAGUACAUUCUCAAUAUGGACAAUGAGACCUUACCAAAAGAGACAGCUUAUGAAACUAUUAAGCAGAGGGUAAUGGAUGCUGCAAGAUCAAUUUUCCGUCCUGAGUUCAUGAACCGAGUUGAUGAGUACAUAGUUUUCCAGCCUCUGGACCGUGAUCAGAUAAGCAGUAUUGUCAAGUUACAGUUGGAACGGGUACAAUUGAGAAUAGCAGACCGGAAGAUGAAACUCCAGGUGACUGAAACAGCGAUUCAGCUGCUAGGAAGUCUUGGGUAUGAUCCCAAUUAUGGUGCUAGGCCAGUCAAGCGGGUGAUCCAGCAAAAUGUUGAAAAUGAACUUGCCAAGGGCAUAUUAAGGGGUGAGUUUAAGGACGAGGACACAGUGUUGAUUGACACAGAGGUCACAGCAUUUUCCAAUGGCCAGCUUCCCCAGCAAAAGCUAAUCCUGAGAAAACUGGAGUCUGAUUCAGACACACCAGCUGCAGAAGGCCAAGAAGCUUUUUCACAAACCAUCUGAACGUCUUUUUGUAGUUUUAUGGUCACCUCUAGUUUCUAACUUUCUACAAAUGCCUAUAAAGAUAUCCGGUUUAUACAAGAGUGCCUUGGGUCUUUUAACACAGCGCAAAAUCAGUUGAGAAACAGGGAGUUGAAUCCUUCUACAGGGCAUGAAAGUCCAAUAUCAUAGUCCUUUGAAAAUGGGAAAUGGGGCAGCAUCUGUGUUGAAAACAUGUGGGACUUUCAUAUUCCUAUCCUGCUUGUAAUGCGAAUCCUAUUUAGAGUGAGCCAUAGUGAGCGCAAAACUAUUGCCCCUAGCCACCAUCCAUCUAAUCGAAAUGAAGAGCUUAACUGCAUCUGUCUU
Molecule: RNA transcript, 3397 nt
Organism: Vitis riparia (riverbank grape)
Lineage: Eukaryota; Viridiplantae; Streptophyta; Magnoliopsida; Vitales; Vitaceae
Gene name: chaperone protein ClpB3, chloroplastic
Exons: 11
Source: RefSeq, a predicted model, not a curated record